Molecule: long non-coding RNA, 358 nt
Filed under: Homo sapiens (human)
Lineage: Eukaryota; Metazoa; Chordata; Mammalia; Primates; Hominidae
Description: non-protein coding lnc-TGM4-1:3
Source: RNAcentral
GGGGAACUGAAACUCCUAAAUCUUAAAACACCCUGGGGAAGGAGCUGAUUCACGAAGGAGAGCGUUUCAACCGUGGCAUUUGCUCUCUGCAUUCCAGUUAGCAAAUGGGUGACUAUCUACAGGCACCAUGACAGUGUUCCCAACAAGGCAGAAAUCAGCCUGGUCUCUCCUUCCCUGCUCCUGGUUGACUGCCCGUGACAUGACAAAACAUUGGCAGUGGUGGCGCAGAGAUGCAACUCGAGUGUGAAUAAAGUUUAGAAGCAUUUGCUUUUGAUGGUUGAUUCCAGUGGAUCAUUUUGAGAUGCAUAAAUUAGAAUGGGUACUGUCAUAUAUGUCAGACUCAGCUCUGCUUCACUUC